AUUGAACGCUGGCGGCAGGCUUAACACAUGCAAGUCGAGCGGGGUGAUGGUGCUUGCACUAUCACUUAGCGGCGGACGGGUGAGUAAUGCUUAGGAAUCUGCCUAUUAGUGGGGGACAACAUCUCGAAAGGGAUGCUAAUACCGCAUACGUCCUACGGGAGAAAGCAGGGGAUCACUUGUGACCUUGCGCUAAUAGAUGAGCCUAAGUCGGAUUAGCUAGUUGGUGGGGUAAAGGCCUACCAAGGCGACGAUCUGUAGCGGGUCUGAGAGGAUGAUCCGCCCCACGGGGACUGAGACACGGCCCAGACUCCUACGGGAGGCAGCAGUGGGGAAUAUUAGACAAUGGGGGGACCCCUGAUCCAGCCAUGCCGCGUGUGUGAAGAAGGCCUUAUGGUUGUAAAGCACUUUAAGCGAGGAGGAGGCUCUUUUGGUUAAUACCCAAGAUGAGUGGACGUUACUCGCAGAAUAAGCACCGGCUAACUCUGUGCCAGCCGCCGCAGUAA
Molecule: ribosomal RNA, 503 nt
Filed under: uncultured bacterium
Lineage: Bacteria
Description: partial 16S ribosomal RNA
Rfam family: Bacterial small subunit ribosomal RNA
Source: RNAcentral